This 743-nucleotide ribosomal RNA is filed under the name uncultured bacterium. RNAcentral describes it as "bacterial SSU rRNA". It matches the Rfam family "Bacterial small subunit ribosomal RNA", at positions 94 to 823 of the family's 1533-position model. The record is from RNAcentral.
AGCGGCGGAUGGGUGAGUAACACGUGGGGAACCUGCCCCUAAGUCUGGGAUACCAUUUGGAAACAGGUGCUAAUACCGGAUAAUAAAGCAGAUCGCAUGAUCAGCUUUUGAAAGGCGGCGUAAGCUGUCGCUAAGGGAUGGCCCCGCGGUGCAUUAGCUAGUUGGUAAGGUAACGGCUUACCAAGGCGACGAUGCAUAGCCGAGUUGAGAGACUGAUCGGCCACAUUGGGACUGAGACACGGCCCAAACUCCUACGGGAGGCAGCAGUAGGGAAUCUUCCACAAUGGACGCAAGUCUGAUGGAGCAACGCCGCGUGAGUGAAGAAGGUUUUCGGAUCGUAAAGCUCUGUUGUUGGUGAGGAAGGAUAGAGGUAGUAACUGGCCUUUAUUUGACGGUAAUCAACCAGAAAGUCACGGCUAACUACAUGCCAGCAGCCGCGGUAAUACAUAGGUGGCAAGCGUUGUCCGGAUUUAUUGGGCGUAAAGCGAGCGCAGGCGGAAAAAUAAGUCUAAUGUGAAAGCCCCCGGCUUAACCGAGGAACUGCAUCGGAAACUGUUUUUCUUGAGUGCAGAAGAGGAGAGUGGAACUCCAUGUGUAGCGGUGGAAUGCGUAGAUAUAUGGAAGAACACCAGUGGCGAAGGCGGCUCUCUGGUCUGCAACUGACGCUGAGGCUCGAAAGCAUGGGUAGCGAACAGGAUUAGAUACCCUGGUAGUCCAUGCCGUAAACGAUGAGUGCUAAGUGU